This 253-nucleotide ribosomal RNA is filed under the name uncultured bacterium. Its description in RNAcentral is "partial 16S ribosomal RNA". It matches the Rfam family "Bacterial small subunit ribosomal RNA", at positions 524 to 776 of the family's 1533-position model. The record is from RNAcentral.
UACGUAGGUGGCAAGCGUUGUCCGGAUUUAUUGGGCGUAAAGGGCGCGCAGGCGGUUCGUUUAGUCCGAGGUGAAAUCUCCCGGCUCAACUGGGAGGGGUCUUUGGAUACUGGCGGACUUGAGGUGAGCAGAGGUGAGCGGAAUUCUGGGUGUAGUGGUGAAAUGCGUAGAUAUCCAGAGGAACACCAGUGGCGAAGGCGGCUCACUGGGCUCCACCUGACGCUGAGGCGCGAAAGCGGGGGGAGCGAACCGG